AUCGCUGGCGGCGUCCAUAAGACAUGCAAGUGGGACGCUGGCUGUCGGGUANCAAUAUUCGACAGUUGGAGUCGCGUAAGGGUGCGUAACACGUGGGUAAUUUGCCGCGAAGACUGGAAUAACUUGCUGAAAGGCGAGCUAAUACCAGAUGUAACUGCUGGAUGGCAUCAUCCAGCAUUAAAAGUCGGGGACCGCAAGGCCUGACGCUUCACGAUGAGCCCGCGGCCUAUCAGCUAGUUGGUGAGGUAAAGGCUCACCAAGGCUAAGACGGGUAGCUGGUCUGAGAGGACGACCAGCCACACUGGAACUGAGACACGGUCCAGACACCUACGGGUGGCAGCAGUCGAGAAUUUUUCACAAUGGGGGAAACCCUGAUGGAGCGACGCCGCGUGGGGGAUGAAUGGCUUCGGCCCGUAAACCCCUGUCAUUCGCGAUCAAAGCGCAUUAUUUAAAAGAUGAUGUGUUGAUAGUAGCGGAAGAAGAAGGGACGGCUAACUCU
RNAcentral lists this ribosomal RNA (499 nucleotides) under freshwater sediment clone ppE25dna. RNAcentral's name for it is "bacterial SSU rRNA". It matches the Rfam family "Bacterial small subunit ribosomal RNA", at positions 32 to 504 of the family's 1533-position model. The record is from RNAcentral.